Molecule: non-coding RNA, 202 nt
Organism: Pelobates cultripes (western spadefoot toad)
Lineage: Eukaryota; Metazoa; Chordata; Amphibia; Anura; Pelobatidae
Source: the annotation of a GenBank genome assembly
UCCCAAGCAAGUCUGUGAACAAGCCAGUGCUAAUCCCUCCUUUCUGAAAGAUUAUGCAAGAAUUUGAAAGAGCUGUUCCUUUCUCCUUAAUACAGCAAAUCUGGAAGCGCUGACUUCCAUCUAAUGACAGGAACAGCAAUACUGAAAUGACGUACAACAUUCUGCUCUUUUUAACUCAAUAACAUGCUUACGUAGAAUAGAG